Molecule: ribosomal RNA, 463 nt
Filed under: uncultured bacterium
Lineage: Bacteria
Description: bacterial SSU rRNA
Rfam family: Bacterial small subunit ribosomal RNA
Source: RNAcentral
CCCAGACUCCUACGGGAGGCAGCAGUGAGGAAUAUUGGUCAAUGGGCGAGAGCCUGGACCAGCCAAGUCGCGUGAGGGAGUACUGCCCUAUGGGUUGUAAACCUCUUUUGUCGGGGAGCAAAAGCCGGACGUGUCCGUCUGUGAGAGUACCCGAAGAAAAAGCAUCGGCUAACUCCGUGCCAGUAGCCGCGGUAAUACGGAGGAUGCGAGCGUUAUCCGGAUUUAUUGGAUUUAAAGGGUGCGCAGGCGGAUUUUUAAGUCAGCGGUCAAAUCGUGGGGCUCAACCCCAUUCAGCCGUUGAAACUGGGGAUCUAGAGUGUGCGAGAGGUAUGCGGAAUGCGUGGUGUAGCGGUGAAAUGCUUAGAUAUUGCGCAGAACUCCGAUUGCGAAGGCAGCAUACCGGCGGCGAUCUGACGCUGAGGCACGAAAGCGUGGGUAUCGAACAGGAUUAGAUACCCCGGUA